RNAcentral lists this ribosomal RNA (216 nucleotides) under uncultured bacterium. Its description in RNAcentral is "partial 16S ribosomal RNA". It matches the Rfam family "Bacterial small subunit ribosomal RNA", at positions 524 to 738 of the family's 1533-position model. The record is from RNAcentral.
UACAGAGGUCUCAAGCGUUGUUCGGAUUCAUUGGGCGUAAAGGGUGCGUAGGCGGCGUGGUAAGUCGGAUGUGAAAUCUCGGAGCUUAACUCCGAAACUGCAUUCGAUACUGCCGUGCUUGAGGACUGGAGAGGAGACGUGGAAUUUACGGUGUAGCGGUGAAAUGCGUAGAUAUCGUAAGGAAGACCAGUGGCGAAGGCGGGUCUCUGGACGAGU